Non-coding RNA from Cavia porcellus (domestic guinea pig), 596 nucleotides. NCBI's taxonomy places the organism in Eukaryota, Metazoa, Chordata, Mammalia, Rodentia, Caviidae. The record is from the annotation of a RefSeq genome assembly.
GAAAGAGGGAAGGAGAGAAUGAGAUAGAGAGGAUGAGACAGAGACAGAGAGAAGAGAUCAGAGGCGGGGUCUAGUGUAGCUGGAUUACUAAAGAAACAUCUUCUAAUUUUGAGAAAAGACACUUUUAUUCUUUGUUUCCUACAGCAAAAGAAUCAUAAGUAUUUGAAGAAGAAGCUUUUUAGAGUUUAAUAUCUGAAUCCUUAGUGAACAAGAGCAGAAUGAUGGGAUCCUUCAAUGUUUUCCUAGUGAUCCUGUGGCUUCAGUUUAUCUGGAUUAGCAGCCAACAGAAGGAGGUGGAGCAAAGUCCCGAGACCCUCAGUGUUUCAGAGGAGCACACUGCCUCUUUCAACUGCACUUACAGGGACAGCGGUUCUUACGCCUUCAGGUGGUACCGACAGUACCCUGGGAAAGGCCCUGAGCUGCUGAUAUCCAUAUACUCUGAUGGUGACCAAGAAGAAGGAAGAUUCAAAGCACAGCUCAACAAAGCCAAUCGACAUGUUUUCCUGCAUAUUGGGGCCUGUCAGUCCCUUGACUCAGCCACCUACUUCUGUGCAGUGAACACACAGUGCUCCCCAGGCACCUGCAGCCUGCACUGA